RNAcentral lists this ribosomal RNA (253 nucleotides) under uncultured bacterium. RNAcentral's name for it is "partial 16S ribosomal RNA". It matches the Rfam family "Bacterial small subunit ribosomal RNA", at positions 524 to 776 of the family's 1533-position model. The record is from RNAcentral.
GACGUAGGGGGCGAGCGUUGUCCGGAUUUAUUGGGCGUAAAGCGCGCGUAGGCGGCUGCGCAAGUCGGUUGUGAAGCCCCGGGGCUCAACCCCGGAACUGCAUCCGAUACUGCGUGGCUAGAGGUAGGUAGGGGAGAUCGGAAUUCCUGGUGUAGCGGUGAAAUGCGCAGAUAUCUGGAGGAACACCGGUGGCGAAGGCGGCAUUCUGGACCGACAUUGACGCUGAGGAGCGAAAGCCAGGGGAGCAAACGGG